RNAcentral lists this ribosomal RNA (731 nucleotides) under uncultured bacterium. RNAcentral's name for it is "bacterial SSU rRNA". It matches the Rfam family "Bacterial small subunit ribosomal RNA", at positions 134 to 851 of the family's 1533-position model. The record is from RNAcentral.
GAGACUGGGAUAACACCUGGAAACAGAUGCUAAUACCGGAUAACAACACUAGACGCAUGUCUAGAGUUUAAAAGAUGGUUCUGCUAUCACUCUUGGAUGGACCUGCGGUGCAUUAGCUAGUUGGUAAGGUAACGGCUUACCAAGGCAAUGAUGCAUAGCCGAGUUGAGAGACUGAUCGGCCACAUUGGGACUGAGACACGGCCCAAACUCCUACGGGAGGCAGCAGUAGGGAAUCUUCCACAAUGGACGCAAGUCUGAUGGAGCAACGCCGCGUGAGUGAAGAAGGGUUUCGGCUCGUAAAGCUCUGUUGGUAGUGAAGAAAGAUAGAGGUAGUAACUGGCCUUUAUUUGACGGUAAUUACCUAGAAAGUCACGGCUAACUACGUGCCAGCAGCCGCGGUAAUACGUAGGUGGCAAGCGUUGUCCGGAUUUAUUGGGCGUAAAGCGAGUGCAGGCGGUUCAAUAAGUCUGAUGUGAAAGCCUUCGGCUCAACCGGAGAAUUGCAUCAGAAACUGUUGAACUUGAGUGCAGAAGAGGAGAGUGGAACUCCAUGUGUAGCGGUGGAAUGCGUAGAUAUAUGGAAGAACACCAGUGGCGAAGGCGGCUCUCUGGUCUGCAACUGACGCUGAGGCUCGAAAGCAUGGGUAGCGAACAGGAUUAGAUACCCUGGUAGUCCAUGCCGUAAACGAUGAGUGCUAAGCGUUGGGAGGUUUCCGCCUCUCAGUGCUGCAG